Molecule: long non-coding RNA, 1283 nt
Filed under: Homo sapiens (human)
Lineage: Eukaryota; Metazoa; Chordata; Mammalia; Primates; Hominidae
Description: PREDICTED lncRNA (TCONS_00088876)
Source: RNAcentral
CAAAGCUCCAGGCCCUCCCUCUCCUCUCUGGCUUCCCGUGGCCCCUGAACUCCCCCUCGGGCUCCCUCUGCUCGCCGGACCUCUCUGGGAUGUGACCACCCUGGCUGCGAUGUGGUAACUAAAGACAGCAAAUACUGAAGCAGGAAAGAGAAGGUCCUUCUAACAGGAGAGACAUAAUGGCUGACUGGACCGGGGGAGGGAUAGUAAGAGUGACAGUAACAAGCCGUUAAGAGUCUGGAUAUAGUUUGAAGAAAGAGCCCACAGGAUCUGUGCUAACAGAAAUGAAGGACAAUGACAAGAUUUUUGUCUAAGCAACUGAAAAAUGGAGGUACUGGUUUGCUAACAUGAGUAAAAACAACGUAUGAGGAAGAAAUAUCAGGGGCCCAGUUCUGGGUAGGUUAACUUUGUUAUUAGACAUCUGAGUGGAGAUAUUGAGUUAAGGAACCUGGAAUUCAGACGAGAGGUCAGGGCUGAAGAUAUAAAUUCAGGAGUCAUCAUAAAUUCAGGAGUCAUCAUCAGAUAUAGAUAAUUCUUAAAGGAAUGAAAAAGAAUGAGACUACCCAGGGACUAAGUGAAGCUAGAGAAGCAGGGAGCCCAAGGACUGAAUCUGGGAUACUUCCAACACGAGGAGAAAGAGAACUGGCAAGGGUGACUGGAAAGAGGCCAGGGAAGAAUUCAAGAGUGGCGUGCCCAAAGACAGGUGAAAAAGCACCUGAAGAGGUGAAGAUCAAUUGCAACAAAUGCUGGAGAUGGCUCAAAAUGAGGACUUAGAAUUGACAAGGGAUUUAGCAUUAUGGAGAUCACUGGUGACCUGUGGAGAGUGGUUUCUGGUGGAGGACAAAGCCUGACUGGACAGGGUGAAAGACAGAAUGUAAGCAGAGGAAUUAAGAGCAGCAAGGAUGCACGCAUCUUUUGAGAAGUUUUACAUCCAACGAGUACAGUAGUAUGUGGCAGUAGCUGAGGGACUGUGGGGUCAGGACAGAUUAUUUUGUAAGACUGGAAAAAUUCUAUCAAUGUUUGAAUGAAUACUGAUAAAAGUGAUCUAGCAGAAGAGGUAAAGUGAAGAUGCAAGAGAUAGAAGUGCUACAGCAGGAAAGAGGGAAAAUAUCUACUGCCCAAGUACAAGUGUUAACCUGGGACAGGAACACCUAUAGAGAGACAAUCUGGACACACAAGAGAAAUGCACCAAAAAAUAAGACACACAGGCUAAAAACACACUGAUUUCCAAUGAGUGCUUGGUCCUUACCUUUUGUUGCUCUGUUCAUUUGCAACUUAUACCUAAU